RNAcentral lists this ribosomal RNA (452 nucleotides) under uncultured bacterium. Its description in RNAcentral is "bacterial SSU rRNA". It matches the Rfam family "Bacterial small subunit ribosomal RNA", at positions 29 to 526 of the family's 1533-position model. The record is from RNAcentral.
AACGAACGCUGGCGGCAUGCCUAACACAUGCAAGUCGAACGAAGGCUUCGGCCUUAGUGGCGCACGGGUGCGUAACGCGUGGGAAUCUGCCCUUGGGUUCGGAAUAACAGCGAGAAAUUGCUGCUAAUACCGGAUGAUGACUUCGGUCCAAAGAUUUAUCGCCCAGGGAUGAGCCCGCGUAAGAUUAGGUAGUUGGUGGGGUAAUGGCCUACCAAGCCGACGAUCUUUAGCUGGUCUGAGAGGAUGAUCAGCCACACUGGGACUGAGACACGGCCCAGACUCCUACGGGAGGCAGCAGUGGGGAAUAUUGGACAAUGGGCGAAAGCCUGAUCCAGCAAUGCCGCGUGAGUGAUGAAGGCCUUAGGGUUGUAAAGCUCUUUCACCGGGGAAGAUAAUGACGGUACCCGCAGAAGAAGCCCCGGCUAACUUCGUGCCAGCCGCCGCCGUAACAC